UAGGGAAUCUUCCACAAUGGACGCAAGUCUGAUGGAGCAACGCCGCGUGAGUGAAGAAGGUUUUCGGACCGUAAAGCUCUGUUGUUGGUGAAGAAGGAUAGAGGUAGUAACUGGCCUUUAUUUGACGGUAAUCAACCAGAAAGUCACGGCUAACUACGUGCCAGCAGCCGCGGUAAUACGUAGGUGGCAAGCGUUGUCCGGAUUUAUUGGGCGUAAAGCGAGCGCAGGCGGAAGAAUAAGUCUGAUGUGAAAGCCCUCGGCUUAACCGAGGAAUUGCAUCGGAAACUGUUUUCUUGAGUGCAGAAGAGGAGAGUAGAACUCCAUGUGUAGCGGUGAAUGCGUAGAUAUAUGGAAGAAUACCAGUGGCGAAGGCGGCUCUCUGGUCUGCAACUGACGCUGAGGCUCGAAAGCAUGGGUAGCGAACAGGAUUAGAUACCCUGGUAGUCCAUGCCGUAAACGAUGAGUGCUAAGUGUUGGGAGGCUUCCGCCUCUCAGUGCUGCAGCUAACGCAUUAAGCACUCCGCCUGGGGGAGUACGACCGCAAGGUUGAAAC
RNAcentral lists this ribosomal RNA (553 nucleotides) under uncultured bacterium. Its description in RNAcentral is "partial 16S ribosomal RNA". It matches the Rfam family "Bacterial small subunit ribosomal RNA", at positions 355 to 900 of the family's 1533-position model. The record is from RNAcentral.